ACGGAUUUGGGAUCAUCCGUCCUUUCCCUGUUUCAGUUCCAGGUGCUCCUGCUGAUCUUCCUGACGGAGUGGCUGCUGAUCCUCCUGGAGAUCAUCUUUGGAGCAAGCCCUUGGAAGAUGGACUGGGCUGGAUCCUGCCAGAAUUUGGAGGGAAUUCCGUGGGAAUUCAGGUGAGCAUUCCCAGCUCUCCUGGAUCCUUCUCAGGGUGAACAUUCCCUGGAAUUUCCCCUCUCCAGGAGAACAUUCCCAGCUCUCCUGGAUCCUUCUCCAGGUGAACAUUCCCUGGAAUUUCCCCUCUCCGGGAGAACAUUCCCAGCUCUCCAGCCCGGCUCCAAGCCCGGAAUCAUUCCCAGCCACUCUCAGCCCUGCAGUGCCACAGCAGCAGCAGCACCUCUGCAAUCCCUGUUUUUUUCCCUUAAAAUCUGGGAUUUUUCCCACCCCCAGGAAGCAGAAAGUGCCGCAUCCAGGAAAACGAGCGGAUCCCGGCGGUCCCUGCCAUCCAUCCAUCCCAGAAUUAUUUUUCCUUCUCUCCCAUCCAUCCCCAGAAUUAUUUUUCCUCUGUCCCAUCCAUCUUGGCGCGGGGGCGGCCGUUCCCUCCCCGGAGCGUGAAUCCCGGAGAUGGACGACUCCAUUCCGUGAAAAACGCGGAAUUUUUCCUCUGGCCGGAUGUCCUCCGGGUCGGCAGCUUCAUGUGCCGGUGACAGGGAUGGAAAACGUUCCCUGUGCCAGAGGAAGGUUUCCUUGGAAGAUUGAUUUGGGAUUUGUUCCUUCUCCAAUCUCCCCCACGGCUCCGGGGGAUCCUCACGCGGCUGCCGGGCGGUGCCAGAGCGGGAGAAGGGAACGGACGGGAUUUUUCCAUCGGAACUCUCCGGAAAUCCCAAUUUAGGGAACGGAAAGCCAAAAGAAAAUGGAAGGAAGGAAAAUAAAUCCCCAAGACUUUGGGCUUUGUUUACUCUGGGAAAACUGGGAAUGGUUUGGCAUUCCCAAUGUGAGCAGGAUCUGGCCAGAAUUGGGGAAUGUUCCCAGAUUUCCAUGGAAAAGGGAUUUUUCCCAAGGGAAUUUGGAGUCAGGCACAGCCCAUCCCUAAGGGAAAACCUCCAUGGAAUUCCAGGCCCUUUUUCCAUUGGAAAAUGGGGUGAAGAAGGAACUUUGAGGCUUUUCCUUCAUUCCCGAGUCCUUUCCCUUUGCUUCCCGGGAGGAUUUGGGGCCGUUCCCAGUGGGAAUCUGAUCCCAAGGAACCACCGGAGACCCCACGGGCUGAGCUGGGUUUGAGACCGAGCUGAGCCUUGGGAUUCUCCGCGGGAGGCAGGAGUCGGGUUUGGAGGAAGCACGGAUCGCUCCGGGUCGGGAGGGGCCUUCGGGACUGUCCCAUUCCAUGGAAUUCCCACCGGAAUUUUCUGGAUUCCCUCUCUGCACGAAACCCUCGGGAUUUAUUUACCCCCCACGGGAGCGGCU
This 1455-nucleotide long non-coding RNA is filed under the name Taeniopygia guttata (zebra finch). Its description in RNAcentral is "lncRNA (ENSTGUG00000023327.1)". Lineage: Eukaryota; Metazoa; Chordata; Aves; Passeriformes; Estrildidae. The record is from RNAcentral.